RNAcentral lists this ribosomal RNA (253 nucleotides) under uncultured bacterium. RNAcentral describes it as "partial 16S ribosomal RNA". It matches the Rfam family "Bacterial small subunit ribosomal RNA", at positions 524 to 776 of the family's 1533-position model. The record is from RNAcentral.
UACGUAGGUGGCAAGCGUUGUCCGGAUUUACUGGGUGUAAAGGGCGUGUAGCCGGGCUGACAAGUCAGAUGUGAAAUCCGGGGGCUCAACCCCCGAACUGCAUUUGAAACUGUUGGUCUUGAGUACUGGAGAGGCAGACGGAAUUCCUAGUGUAGCGGUGAAAUGCGUAGAUAUUAGGAGGAACACCAGUGGCGAAGGCGGUCUGCUGGACAGCAACUGACGCUGAGGCGCGAAAGCGUGGGGAGCAAACAGG